Long non-coding RNA from Gallus gallus (chicken), 1027 nucleotides. RefSeq lists it as uncharacterized. Lineage: Eukaryota; Metazoa; Chordata; Aves; Galliformes; Phasianidae. The transcript has 3 exons. The record is from RefSeq and is a predicted model, not a curated record.
ACCUUACUGGAGAUUCCUGCCUACAUGAGUCCUUAUGAGGGUUUUUAUUGGAGGAUUCUUCUAGUCCUGUUCUUUGUGGAGAAUAAACCAGAGUUCCCUUGAGGUAAAUGACUUUUAAGCGAUGCUCCAAGUUUGGCUCCACAGACAACAGUUAAAGAGAGUAAAAGAUACAUGUCUGCACCGAGCAGCCAAACAGCAUUUUAGACUGCUGACUUCUGAACAAGGAAUGUUUUGUGAAUAUUGCAAAGAAUUCAGAAGGCUCACCACUUCCUCCUACAAAUAAAAUAUAUUGCGUCUACAAACACUCGUGAAGAGGAGAAAGGAGUAAGUAAACUGAGGAAUUGAGAUGGAUGGGUUUUGCCUAAGAGGUAGAGAACGUGCCCAAUUGACAUUAUUUUGUAACUAGCAGGAGCCAAGAGGUCCUGCCUCUUUGAGGGGUAUAUUUGAUAUAUUUUCAAGUCAUUUAAAUAAAUGACUUUAUUUUCAAGUCAAGUCAUUUAAUAUGUAAUUUGAGAGGGAGGAGCAUGGAGAAUUUCCUUGACCUUGCGCAUAUUGUACUGCCUCAAACUGUGUUAUGUAACUGUAGUUAAUUUUGAAUAUUGGAUAUUGAGAAAAUAUUCAGCAGGUUGGUUUUGAUAGCAAUUUCAUUAUCUUGUACCUGUGAGGAGACGUGAGCUGGUAGGCAGUCUGAAAAACAACCGAGUGCUAUAAAUAAUAUUAAUAUUACUAUGUUUUACUGCUGUUUACUUUAGUUUUUGUGCCAUGAAAUAGGGUGAUGAUCAGGAAAAACAAUAUUUAUAUUGAAACCAUAUGGUUCACAAGGAAAAGCAUUUUUUCCUUGUGACUAGUCUUCUGUCUGCAGUCUGAAGUGACAGUAUCUCUGUAUUCACCUGACAGUUUUUGACAGUGGAUCAGUUGUUGCUACUGAGGAAGCAGCUGACAUUUUUACUUCUUUGAAAGGUAUGAACUGUCAUUUACAGUUCAUAAGAGUUACGCUAGUCAGUGCUUAAGGAAAACAUAAAAAGCU